GUGCUUGCUUGGGUAACACAUAUACUAAAAUUAGAAUAAUGCAAAAAAGAUUAGUAUGGCCCUUGCACAAGGAAGAUUUACAAAUUCAUGAAGUAUUUUUAUUUCAG
RNAcentral lists this small nuclear RNA (107 nucleotides) under Castor canadensis (American beaver). The record is from RNAcentral. Lineage: Eukaryota; Metazoa; Chordata; Mammalia; Rodentia; Castoridae.